Non-coding RNA from Lonchura striata (white-rumped munia), 638 nucleotides. The record is from RefSeq and is a predicted model, not a curated record. NCBI's taxonomy places the organism in Eukaryota, Metazoa, Chordata, Aves, Passeriformes, Estrildidae.
ACGGCAGCGCCCUUUCGGCGGGCGCGGGGCGGCGGGAGCGGAGCUCCGGGAGCGGACCCGCGACCGGGACCGGGACCGGGACCGGGACCGGCCUCGGCCUCUCCCGGCCGGGCCAGCGGGAAGCCCCGCGUCCCUCAUGCGCAGGACGCCGCACUGCGCCUUCCGCCGCCGUGUUGUGGCGAGGCUCCCCCAGGGCCGGAGCCGCGUCCCGCCGGCCCCGGGCGAGGUGAGCUGGGAGCGGCUCCGAGCCCCGCCGGGCUCCCGGGGCUGCCACGUGCGCUGCAAAUCCCGCAGCAUGCAGAAAAAAAUGAAGUGACCAGGAUGCUGCGAGUUCAGAAAUGAAGGGUGAUCCUUCAGAAAAAGGCUGCCUGAGCAAGCUUCAGCCACCUUCCUGACUCCCAGCCCAGGUGAGCCGCAGUGCCAGCCCCAGCUCAGGUGAGCUGCCAGCCCCAGCCCAGAUUAUGCCUUGAGCUGCAGAAUGUCUGACAAACAUGGCAACAGAACUGGCUGGCAGCAUCCACGUCUGAUGGUUUGGAGAUUCCCAAAACUGAUCAUCUGUGUUUUCUCUACAUGGUUAAGAAGGAUUUAAAUUUUAAAAAAAAAAAAAAAACUAAAUAAAGAUGCCACCUACAAGACUG